ACCAUUUAAAUACAACUUUUUUUCCCCCCAAAUUUUAAGUAAUUAAAUUACAUAUUUAAUUUCAGAUUAAGCAGUUGUUAAUGUUAUUCCGUAGCAAAUACAUUUAUAAAAGAAAAGAACAAGAAAAGAAAGGUGGCAUGCUCAAAAGGUUCUUUUUUUUCUUUUCUUGUAAGAUAGAAGAUCGAAGAUAGAAAUUAAUAGCUAUUUGCAUGCUGUUAUUAUUCAACUAGCGUGCAGUUUUCCAAAGCCCUUCAUGCACCUUGACUUAAAUAUUGGUUGGCUUUUUAGAACUUCAAGCCUCUGAAAUUUUGAGUAGUUUGUCAUAGUGCCAACACAAAGUCAUUCUAAUUCCUUACAGGCAAGGAAAAAAGGAACAUCAAAAGGAGAAAAGAAAAAAAAUUAUUAGAUGGGACUAGGGCACAUUCUCGUACUUUUGUAAAUUAGUGAUCUCAACACUUUCUUGAAGUAUGUGAAACCCACUGAUUAUUAGAAAAUCAAAGUGCAAAUCUUGUCCUACUUAUUAAGAAAUUAAAAUCUUUUUAUUUUGGGUACCCAUCAAACUAAAUUACACAAUGAGAGUAGCACUGAGCUCCCUUGCUUUAAUUAAUCUCUAUUUUCUAAGUCCUUACACUUGAAUAUAUGAACUUAAUUGAUUAGAUUAGCUAACAAAAGCAUUAAUGUUUACUUGUUUUAGACUUAAUUAUCAAAUAAAAGACAAGAAUACUCUAUAUUCUUUGAUUGGAACAAGACUAAAGUAAUUUAGGAUGAAAAUUGCAGGAAGAAGGA
Molecule: unclassified non-coding RNA, 786 nt
Filed under: Hevea brasiliensis (rubber tree)
Lineage: Eukaryota; Viridiplantae; Streptophyta; Magnoliopsida; Malpighiales; Euphorbiaceae
Source: RNAcentral